This is a long non-coding RNA of Ahaetulla prasina, 2780 nucleotides long. RefSeq lists it as uncharacterized. NCBI's taxonomy places the organism in Eukaryota, Metazoa, Chordata, Lepidosauria, Squamata, Colubridae. The record is from RefSeq and is a predicted model, not a curated record. The transcript has 3 exons.
AAUGAAAAAAAAAGAGAGAGAAGUAAUUCUGAUCCUUCUCUACAUUGGUCAAAUUGCUGCCGUGAACCCAGUAACCCUCACAGACUGUAGAAUGAAAUGGAUAAUAAUCCCACCCUGCUCUUGAUGUGAGAGAAUUCCAUGCAUACUGGGUUUUUUCCAAGCAUCUUGGUCUACAGAACUCUGCUCAGUUAAUAACAGAAACUGAUGCUGGAAAAAGCCAGCAGUCUUGCAACAAGAUAGCUUUUAAAUUAGGGGAUCUCUGCUGGUUCUUUUCGAAUGGUAGCCUGACUUUUAAUAUUUUUUUGGUCCAAAUUUGCAGGACACACUAAGCUUUUUAGAUAUGUAGGAUAGUGAAUAUUUUAUAUGCAUAGAAGUGUCUGCAAAGGACUUUAAUCAAGGCAAAAUAGGCAGCAUUAAAUUUCAUGCCAUCGUUCAUAUAGAUUUCUUGAUUGGAUGUAAAUUAGUGCAGUGAUUGCAUUCUCUUUUGACUCCCUUCAUAAAUUUGUGUUAGAAAUCUAUCUUGGGAAUAACUGUCAUUUCCAUUAUUUGGAAAAGUUGCAAAUUUUCAUGUCGUUAAGAAAAGAAUUUUAUAUUCUUUCUCCCUCCCUCUCCUUUGUCCUUUUGGAGAUAUGCUUUCUGGGCCACAUAAAGACAUAUAAAAGAAUAAUUCUUAAAAAUAGCAUAGCUAUAAUUCAAGAUUCACUAGCUGAUUAAUAUCCUGUCAAUAAAUAGCAUACCCAGCCUGGUACUUUUCUGAUACUUGAGGGUCACAGUUCCAUAUUUAUUUAUUACUUUUUGCACUUAUGUGUUAUAUUUAUUUAAUGCAUUUAUUAUUUGCAUGCAGCACUACAGCUCUAUAUCUUCAGGAAGCAAAAAAAAUCAUAGUGCCAUAUUUUAAAAAACAGGAUUAAGAGAAACUUGUUAGAUAGUCUGCAAUUCUGUGAAUGUUUUUUUCCAUACUUUUUUGGAACUCAAGAAUAUUAAGAGGCUACAGGAACAUCUUGUAAAAUAACCUGAGCAUCAAAUACUUUUGUUUUGUUAGGUGGUAUUGAGCUUGAUUUAUGUAUUUAAAUUUUCAAACUUUCUAAAUGAUCCAUAAAUGAAGAGACUAAAUUCCACCGAAUUCAAAGAUUACACUGAUUUUACAGGGGCUGAUAGCAAGAACAUCUAGACUUAUAUACCACUUUAUAGUGCUUUGACAGCCCUCUCUAAGCGGUCCAUGAUCCAUGUAUUCAGGAAAGGAUACACAGCUAAGGUAUCUGCCAGCUACAGGUUAACUUGAUGAAAUAUUAUAAUAGGAUGUUUCAUGUUAGUACUAUUAAGUGCGGAGCAAUAUAACAAAACACAAAGCUGUAAACAUAAUAAACAUUUGAAAAGCACAGUGUCCAGAGUAAUGCUUGAGACUCUUAUAAAGGACAUCACUGACUAAUGUUUGGAAGUUGAGCCAUGGCAACUGGACGCCUUUUCUUUGUUGGUUCGAAAUAUUUCAUUCUUCAAUCCAAGUAGCAUAUUGAUUGGUUUCCCCCUGACCAAUUUGCUCAGACUGAAGAAGCUACUUGGAUAAGCAGCCAAACAUUUCGAACCAACAAGAUAAGAAAUCCAGACAUCUCUACCUGGACAGAUUCAACUUCCAGACAUCUUUGCUGACUUAACCCUAGCUAUUGUUUUCUUUUCUACAAAGGUCUUGGGUUGAAAGAUGGUAGCUUGCCUAAAGCUCCUGUGUUGGUCCCCCAACAAGCUAAGAUUGCAUUUAUAUUCUUCAGACAUUCAGAUUAUUAUUCAGCUUCUAUGUUAAACUAGUUCUGUGAAAGAUAAGCCUGCCUGGCCUUGCAAUAGCAGAAUACAAGUGACCCUGUCCCAUCAGAUCCAACCAGUGGUCCUGAUCAAUCCAGCUUCCCUGGAUCCAACCUCCAUUUCAAAUAUAUAAAGGUAAAGGUUCCCCUCGCACAUACGUGCUAGUCGUUGCCGACUCUAGGGGGCGGUGCUCAUCUCCGUUUCAAAGCCGAAGAGCCAGCGCUGUCCAAAGACAUCUCCAUGGUCAUGUGGCCGGCAUGACUCAACACCAAAGGCGCACGGAACGCUGUUACCUUCUCACCAAAGGGCUGCACAUGAAGUGGAAAGAGAAGAUGUAUGCACCUUCUCCUUCCAAUGAAGUUUCUGUGGGGAAAUCUAGAACCAUCCAUACAAGGCCGAUCUAAAAUGGUGCUUUGUUAACUUGAGAGACUACUUUCAACUACCUUCAGGUCAACAGCCUUAUGGAAUCAACUAUGGCCGCCAAGAUCAUUUUCCUAAUGAGCUAUCGGCAGCUUAAGCCUUCAUUGGUCUAUACGUGGUGAAGUUGGCCCCAGGACUGUUGUGAAUCACACUUAAAAUUAAAUAGUUUCAGCCUGUUGUACAAAUGUGGCCAACGGUAUUAACCAUCCUGAUUAAAUGAGUUGUGCAAACAAGACUGCUGGCUUAUAUUUACGUUUUAAGCUAAAAAUCUCUUUUUUCUUUCAAAAUUCUGCAGUUUUUCCUACUCCAGAGAACCCAAUUCUUCCGAUGCCUGCAUUGGUAAUAGAAAAAAGGUGAUUUGGAUGCCAUCUAGUGGCUUAAGAUGCAAAUAUAAAAUAUUUAGAACCUAUCCAGAACCUAUCUAUAUACAGAGAUCGAUCGAUCGAUCGAUCUAUCUAUCUAUCUAUCUAUCUAUCUAUCUAUCUAUCUAUCUAUCUAUCUAUCUAUCUAUCUAUCUAUCUAUCUAUCUACCUAUCUAUCUAUCUAUCUACCUAUCUAUCUAUCUA